UACGGAGGGGGCUAGCGUUGUUCGGAAUUACUGGGCGUAAAGCGCACGUAGGCGGACGAGAAAGUCAGAGGUGAAAUCCCAGGGCUCAACCCUGGAACUGCCUUUGAAACUCCUUGUCUUGAGGUCGAGAGAGGUGAGUGGAAUUCCGAGUGUAGAGGUGAUAUUCGUAGAUAUUCGGAGGAACACCAGUGGCGAAGGCGGCUCACUGGCUCGAUACUGACGAUGAGGUGCGAAAGCGUGGGGAGCAAACCGG
Molecule: ribosomal RNA, 253 nt
Filed under: uncultured bacterium
Lineage: Bacteria
Description: partial 16S ribosomal RNA
Rfam family: Bacterial small subunit ribosomal RNA
Source: RNAcentral